RNA transcript from Lolium rigidum, 2045 nucleotides. RefSeq lists it as uncharacterized. The transcript is spliced from 4 exons. Lineage: Eukaryota; Viridiplantae; Streptophyta; Magnoliopsida; Poales; Poaceae. The record is from RefSeq and is a predicted model, not a curated record.
UUUGUCGUCGUUCGGGGGUGGCCGCGAGCCUGCGACGAACCGGACGGCGGCGAGCUGCUCGCGGUGAAGUGAGCAGGCGGCGUCUCCGUGGAGGUGCAGCUACGCGGGAGGGGCUCACCCUCGCCUCGCUCUGCUCUCCGCAAAUGCUCCCCUCAGUCUCCUGCCUCUGCUUCCGCGCCGUGGCGGCGAGUACCAAAUCUUCCCCGAGUUCGCGCUGGGUAGCUUUCUCGCUGGCCAGAUGGAGAGGAACGGAGGCGGUCUCAAGGAAGGCACCGUACGGGAGUCUGCAGCGGAUGUGCCCAGGGGCCUCAUGCACCUCCACGGCGAGAUCAAUUGGAGGAAAGUGUUUAUCAGAGCGGAAGGCUGGCCCAAGCGCACGAACUUCGGCUAUGCGAGGAUCAUGGAUUCGGCGGGCGUUCAUGGCGCUUGAGGUGGCGCACAAGGAGGAGCAGGACGACCCGUUGAUAUUUGGAUUUGGCGGUGCGCCUUACGACGCAAGCCGACCCGCGUCCGUGGAGGCCUGCUUCCGCGGCGGCAGCGCUCAACCAAGGUGAGGUCGAUAAGAGGGGCUCCUCCAUGUCAAUUUCCGAGGGGGCCGCCCCAUUCCUCUCCUCGCAAGGGGAGAUUGACCGCCGGCAUCUCCGUCUGGCUCCCUCCUCCUCUUCAAUCUACGGAUCCAGGCCACUCCAUUCUGGUCCUGGAAGUAAUUGGGACCUUCUUCCAUUAAACUUGGUGGAGCUGGUGUACCGAUCUGUUCCCUCUCUCUCUUCUGGGACGAUAUGUUGAAUGUUCGGAUGCAGAACAUUCUGGGACGAUGUGUAUUAGUGCCCUCCACAUGUUUGUUGUUAUGUUUGUUUCAACUGAAACUAUUUUUUUAGGGUUCUCUGGUGGUCUUUCCUCUAGGCUGCACACAUACUGAUCCAUACAGGCUGCUAUCUUCUUCUCAUACAUGCAUGCUAAAAUGCAUGUAAUUAAUUUGGAUGCAUAUCAGCAAUGGAGAGUGAGAGUGAGGGGUCAAAAGCAUUCAGGUGAUACAUUGUUGAUUUAAAGAGGCAUGGAAUUCACCGUUGGUACUGUAUGCACUUCGAUUGCUUUUUAGCAUGUUUAUCUGUACACAUACAUCAGGUACAAGUUUGAUGCAUUAGGGAAGCUACCGGUUCACUUAUAUGGUUAACAUUAAAUACAUAUAGUUUGGAUGCAAUAUAUUUGAUCAUUUUGUUUUUAACCUUUCAUGUUUUUGAAGUUGUAGACGUAAAGCAAUCUAACUACACAGGCUGAUUAUAACUUAUUUCAUACAAUUACAGUUGUGUAUAAUUCGUAGGGAAAAAGCAUAUAUACUGUAUACAUGCAUGUGAGUGUCUAAAGCUUUUGCGUGUCAAGAUGGAUUGGUUGUGAAGAUGCUAUAUUUUGAGUGGUAGAAUUUUUUCAGUAUGUGCUGAUUGCGAUGCUUCGGCUUGACAAUGUUAUCUAUUUCUUUUCCGUCAGUUAGCAUAUCUACUGUGUAUGCUGCAACAUGCACACUCGAGGUGAGCUGCGUCAGCGCACUAUGUGAACAUGUCGUGCAACAGUUUAAGCGACUACAUUCAAGAAUUCUGUGUGAUCUCUUGGUGGCGUCCAUGUAUGAGGACCUUCAGAUUUGGGACGAUAGACACCUUCAGUGAAAAUAGGAGUAAGGAUUGGACCAAAGAAAGAAGUGCGCGAACCUGCUACCAGAGAGCGCAUAAAGGGUUUGGAGUAGAGGCAGGAUGCGCUGCGGAUGGAGCAGCAAAAACUCUUUAUUCGUCUAGCAUCUCGAGGAAAUCACCAAAUGGGUUUGUUCUCGCCUGUCAAGAUAGUCUUGCCUUAGCCUGCACUACUGCAACUUCUUCGACCAUGGAAUGGGCUCGAAAGGCCUCAGCCUGCCCUAUUGCAACUUCUUCGACCAUGGAAUGGACGUGGAAGAAAGUAUAUUGGCUUUACACAAGCAACACUGAAAUAAUCGAUGUACCAUAUGACAGAAGAAGAUGAGACUAGCUAAAGUAGUAUUUGUGCAUGAGGCAGAACUU